Molecule: ribosomal RNA, 492 nt
Filed under: uncultured bacterium
Lineage: Bacteria
Description: partial 16S ribosomal RNA
Rfam family: Bacterial small subunit ribosomal RNA
Source: RNAcentral
AGUGAACGCUGGCGGUAGGCCUAACACAUGCAAGUCGAACGGCAGCACAGUAAGAGCUUGCUCUUACGGGUGGCGAGUGGCGGACGGGUGAGGAAUACAUCGGAAUCUACUUUUUCGUGGGGGAUAACGUAGGGAAACUUACGCUAUUCCCCCUACCUCCCUUCGGUUCAAAUACGGGUUUUUUCGACCCUUUCCCAUUUGAUUAACCCGAUUCCGGAUUAGCUAGUUGGCGGGGUAAAGGCCCCCCAAGCCGACGAUCCGUAGCUGGUCUGAGAGGAUGAUCAGCCACACUGGAAGUGAGACACGGUCCAGACUCCUACGGGAGGCAGCAGUGGGGAAUAUUGGACAAUGGGCGCAAGCCUGAUCCAGCCAUACCGCGUGGGUGAAGAAGGCCUUCGGGUUGUAAAGCCCUUUUGUUGGGAAAGAAAAGCAGCAGGUUAAUACCCCGCUGUUCUGACGGUAACCAAAGAAUAAGCACCGGCUAACUUCGUG